CCUACGGGAGGCAGCAGUGGGGAAUAUUGCACAAUGGGGGAAACCCUGAUGCAGCAACGCCGCGUGAAGGAAGACGGUUUUCGGAUUGUAACUUCUAUCAAUAGGGAAGAAAGAAAUGACGGUACCCAAAAAAGAAGCCCCGGCUAACUACGUGCCAGCAGCCGCGGUAAUACGUAGGGGGCAAGCGUUAUCCGGAAUUACUGGGGGUAAAGGGAGAGUAGGCGGCAAGGUAAGCGAUAGGUGAAAGCCUUAAGCUUAACUAAAGGAUUGCAUAACGAACUAUCUAGCUAGAGUACAGGAGAGGAAAGCGGAAUUCCUAGUGUAGCGGUGAAAUGCGUAGAUAUUAGGAAGAACACCAGUGGCGAAGGCGGCUUUCUGGACUGAAACUGACGCUGAGGCUCGAAAGCGUGGGGAGCGAACAGGAUUAGAUACCCGAGUAGUC
Molecule: ribosomal RNA, 442 nt
Filed under: uncultured bacterium
Lineage: Bacteria
Description: partial 16S ribosomal RNA
Rfam family: Bacterial small subunit ribosomal RNA
Source: RNAcentral